Molecule: long non-coding RNA, 1079 nt
Organism: Megalopta genalis
Lineage: Eukaryota; Metazoa; Arthropoda; Insecta; Hymenoptera; Halictidae
Source: RefSeq, a predicted model, not a curated record
GAUCUACGCAUCAGGUCAGCGUCGUUUGUCUGACGUAGCACCAUCCACCUAGAGAAUACUCACAGGCGUCGAGUUUUCCCGAAAUUGUUUUAUGAGAGGUAACUCUCUCUCCCCGUUUUCAAGGUUAGCGCAUUCCUCUCUCCUUCUUUUUCAUCCCAGUUGACGAGUUCUGAAUUGCUAAAAGCAAGGAGAGGGGAAUACGUUACCCUUGAAAACGGAGGGAGAGAGUUACCUCUCAUAAAACAAUUUCGGGAAAACUCGACGCCUGGGCUAAUUCGAAUCAAUAUUAGAAUGCGUACUGGUGAGAAUUUCCAAACAUGAGAUGGUUCAAAUUAAAACUGGAAAACCGUGCCAUGUGGCAGGCAUAUCCCGGUUUGCGAGAAAAUCCACAGUCUCACCGAAAAGUUAUAAAUUGUUAUUUACGGUGCUAUGGAAGAACUGAAGAAUCAAAAGAUAAUUAGAAGCAAAUGUGUUUUUGCGAAGAAGAGAAAUUGGUUUGGUCGCUGAUGAAUUGAGACAGCAAAUAAACAGUGAUUAUGAAAGUUCAUACAACUCAGUUAUGAACAUUGUUAUCAGUAGCAACUGUUAACAAAUAUUACAUUAAAUUUAUUGAUAUCGAGAAAGCUGAUUAUUUGUUUCUGUUACGGAUAUUUAUAUGUAAUAAUUGAUAAAAAUGAUAGUAUAAUAAACAAAUUAAUAUUGAAGUAAGGAAAACAACCAAUGAUUACAAAAUUAAUUCUGAAAAUUCUGAGAAUUUUCUAUUACAUCAAAGUAGGUUCAUAAAUGAAAUCUUGAGUGAAUAUACAGGGCAUCGUCAAAACGCCAGAUGCGUUAGGAAUGAGACUAGAUAAGUACAAGGAUUUGAAAAGAGUUGACAUUUUGCCCUAAGAAAUUCUGGGAAGUAUUGGAUACCUAGUAUUUUCGAAAAGGGUGUAUCUUUAAGAAGUGUAUCUCAGGUGACCACUUAGUAGAGUGCAUGUACCAGAUCAAAAUAUUUCACGACAGAAUCAACGGAAAGUAAACUUUUGUAAUAACAAUUUAAUGUAUCUGUACGAAUAAACAAUGUAUAUAAACACGUA